UGUGGAACUGGUUGUCCAUUGUUUGGGCCU
This 30-nucleotide non-coding RNA is filed under the name Homo sapiens (human). Lineage: Eukaryota; Metazoa; Chordata; Mammalia; Primates; Hominidae. The record is from RNAcentral.